AACGCACCUUGCGCUCCUUGGUAUUCCGAGGAGCAUGCCUGUUUGAGUGUCAUGAAACCCUCAAACCCAAGUUUUGGAUUUCGAUCCAUGCUUGAGUUUGGAUUUGGAUGUUUGCCAGUGAUGAACCGACUCAUCUUAAAAGUAUUAGCUUGGAUCUGUCUAUAUGACUGGUUUGACUUGGCAUAAUAAGUAUUUUGCUGAGGACAUCUUCGGAUGGCCAGGACCUAGACUACUGUCUGCUAACUAAACCAUCACUUUAAGUGCAUCUUUGGAUGUUACUCAUUGUGUAACUUUGACAUCUGGCCUCAAAUCAAGUAGGACUACCCGCUGAACUUAA
Molecule: unclassified non-coding RNA, 337 nt
Filed under: uncultured Tremellomycetes
Lineage: Eukaryota; Fungi; Basidiomycota; Tremellomycetes
Description: sequence contains 5.8S rRNA gene, ITS2, 28S rRNA gene
Rfam family: 5.8S ribosomal RNA (bases 1-52)
Source: RNAcentral